This 773-nucleotide ribosomal RNA is filed under the name uncultured Neocallimastigales. Its description in RNAcentral is "partial large subunit ribosomal RNA". It matches the Rfam family "Eukaryotic large subunit ribosomal RNA", at positions 22 to 635 of the family's 3401-position model. Lineage: Eukaryota; Fungi; Neocallimastigomycota; Neocallimastigomycetes; Neocallimastigales. The record is from RNAcentral.
UACACGCUGUGACUAGCAUAUCAAUAAGCGGAGGAAAAGAAACUAACAAGGAUUCCCCUAGUAACGGCGAGUGAAGCGGGAAGAGCUCAAAUUUGAAAUCUUAAAGGGUUUCCCUUUACGAAUUGUAGUUUAAAGAAGUGUUUUCUGUUGAGGUUUUGGUAAAAGUUCUUUGGAAUAGGACAUCAUAGAGGGUGAGAAUCCCGUAUUUGACCUUUACUUUCAACUUUGUGAUACACUUUCAAAGAGUCGGAUUGUUUGGGAAUGCAGUCCAAAAUGGGUGGUAAAUUUCAUCUAAAGCUAAAUAUUGGCGAGAGACCGAUAGCGAACAAGUACCGUGAGGGAAAGAUGAAAAGAACUUUGAAAAGAGAGUUAAACAGUACGUGAAGUUGUCAAAAGGGAAGCGUUUGACACCAGUGUUGUUUUUCUGAAAAUCAAUUAAAGAACUGUUUAUGCUAAGCUGUUUAGACUUUAUCAGCUAUCUGUUUAGUUUUGAGCUUUUCUUUAAUGCACUUUUCAGUUAACAAGUCAACAUCAAUUUCUUUUGCUGUAAAAAAGCUUGAGGAAGGUGGCUUGAGAUUCGUCUUAAGUGUUUAUAGCCUCUUGCCUAUGCAGUCGGAGAGAUUGAGGUCUGCAGCGUAGAUCCUUCGGGGCUAAAUGCAUUUGUGCUAAGUUAUAGCAUUUUAUAGACAACUUGUUGACUAUGAUUUGUCUUGUAGCUUACUCGCUUAUGUUAUUUUACCUACGCUUAGGAUGUUGAAGAUGUAGCACAUCAU